Molecule: long non-coding RNA, 579 nt
Filed under: Heterocephalus glaber (naked mole-rat)
Lineage: Eukaryota; Metazoa; Chordata; Mammalia; Rodentia; Bathyergidae
Description: lncRNA (ENSHGLG00100029265.2)
Source: RNAcentral
CAGUAGGCUGCCUACUCUAUGAGCAUGUUUGGAAAUAAAUCUUUCAAGGCUUCCUCUGACUACGGUCCUGACCCACAGCUGGACUGCAAUUGCAUGGGAGACCCUGAGCCAGUACCAAGCAGAAAAAGUGCUCUCAGAUUCCUAAAACACAGAAACUGUCCUGGGUUUAUCCUAAGGCUGUUUCACACCAAAGCUCUACAGGAAGGACACCAAGUAGCAAAAAAAUGCAUGUCAAAUGGGAGAAACAAAGUAGUUUUCCUUGGCUCUGUGUUAUGAGGGAUGAGCACUGUCUUUUACAAGCUGUUCUCUGAGUUUUAUUAAAUAUCAACAGAAGUUCAACAAUGUGAGAGAGACUUCAAACAUAAUCACUGCUGUUAGAAUAAGAGGAACAACCAGGAGCAAGACAACGUUACCCAUGCCAAGUCCUCAAUAAUCCUGAUGCAGAGCAGUCUGCAUGAAAAUUAGGACAAUUAUCUACUGUAAAUUAAUGUACUUUAAUAUUCAACCUCUAAUACACACAUAUUGCUUUGUUUUCACAGGAUUAAAUGAAUUGAAGGGAUUAUAAAUCCAUAUGCAGUG